UUUUGCAUAUUUCAAAAAGCGGAGGAAAAGAAACCAACAGGGAUUGCCCUAGUAACGGCGAGUGAAGCGGCAACAGCUCAAAUUUGAAAUCUGGCUCUUUCAGAGUCCGAGUUGUAAUUUGCAGAGGGCGCUUUGGCUUUGGCAGCGGUCCAAGUUCCUUGGAACAGGACGUCACAGAGGGUGAGAAUCCCGUACGUGGUCGCUAGCUAUUGCCGUGUAAAGCCCCUUCGACGAGUCGAGUUGUUUGGGAAUGCAGCUCUAAAUGGGAGGUAAAUUUCUUCUAAAGCUAAAUAUUGGCCAGAGACCGAUAGCGCACAAGUAGAGUGAUCGAAAGAUGAAAAGCACUUUGGAAAGAGAGUCAAACAGCACGUGAAAUUGUUGAAAGGGAAGCGCUUGCAGCCAGACUUGCUUGCAGUUGCUCAUCCGGGCUUUUGCCCGGUGCACUCUUCUGCAGGCAGGCCAGCAUCAGUUUGGGCGGUGGGAUAAAGGUCUCUGUCACGUACCUUCCUUCGGGUUGGCCUUAUAGGGGAGACGCCAUACCACCAGCCUGGACUGAGGUCCGCGCAUCUGCUAGGAUGCUGGCGUAAUGGCUGUAAGCGGCCCGUCUUGAACAACCGGACCAAAA
RNAcentral lists this ribosomal RNA (625 nucleotides) under Curvularia spicifera. Its description in RNAcentral is "LSU rRNA". It matches the Rfam family "Eukaryotic large subunit ribosomal RNA", at positions 34 to 671 of the family's 3401-position model. The record is from RNAcentral. Lineage: Eukaryota; Fungi; Ascomycota; Dothideomycetes; Pleosporales; Pleosporaceae.